UUUCUUUGGGUGAUAAGUUCAUCGUUUCUAUGGUACAUUUCAGUACUUCUAUAGAUAGAUUUUAAAUAGAGGUUUCUGAGUGUGAAUUGUCUGUUGGACAGAAAUGGGUACAACUGGCCCGUGUUGGUUCAUUUCAGUUUUGUUUUGGUUUGGUGACUUGUUUUGUUUCGGACUGAAGUGAUACAACUUCGACAAUUCUAAGUCUUUUUGGCAAUUUUAAAACCAUGAUUGGGAAUUGUACAAAUGUGCCAUGGCAUCUAGCACGUUAUAUGAAUCUUAACCAAAAGAAGAAAAAAAAAAUCCUGUCUUUCUAACCGAGCAAUGUGGGAGCUUGUAAGAGUCAAGCAGUGUGAUACAAGACAUUCCUGGAUGGCAUGGACGGCUAACGAGCUUUAAUACAAAUUCAUGUGUGAUAAAUCAUGCAUAGACUGCACUUUUCUAGUAAAAUAUGUGGAAUUUAUCAACUUUUUUGAGACAUUCAUGUGUAACUUUGUCCGGUGGACAGAUCUCAGAGAUUUAGAUCUACGAACCAGUUUGUUUACCUUAAGACAGAUUAGAGCUGCCACAGGCAACUUUCACAUUUCAAACAAGCUUGGGGAAGGUGGUUUUGGUUCUGUUUACAAGGGUCUAUUAUCAGACAGUACUUCAAUUGCAGUGAAACAGCUUUCAUCCAAAUCAAAGCAAGCCGUGAAUUUGUGACUGAAAUAGGCAUGAUAUCUACUUUGCAACACCCAAAUCUUGUAAAACCUUAUGGAUGUUGUAUCGAGGAAGAUCAACUAUUGCUAGUUUAUGAGUACAUGGAAAAUAAUAGCCUUGCUCGUGCUCUGUUUGGCCCAGAAGAAUAUCAAUUGCAGGCUUGCAGCUUGAUUGGCCAACAAGGCACAAGAUUUGUGUUGGUACAGCUAGAUGUCUAGCUUAUCUCCAUGAAGAAUCGACACUGAAAAUUGUUCAUAGAGACAUCAAAGCCACCAAUGUACUGCUCGAUCGGGAUCUUAUACCAAAGAUAUCUGACUUUGGUCUGGCAAGGCUUGGUGAAGAGGAGAAGACCCACAUCAGCACUCGUAUAGCAGGAACCAUGUGAGUCAUCAUGCACAAUUUUCCUCGU
Molecule: long non-coding RNA, 1105 nt
Organism: Magnolia sinica
Lineage: Eukaryota; Viridiplantae; Streptophyta; Magnoliopsida; Magnoliales; Magnoliaceae
Exons: 3
Source: RefSeq, a predicted model, not a curated record